RNAcentral lists this ribosomal RNA (856 nucleotides) under uncultured bacterium. RNAcentral's name for it is "bacterial SSU rRNA". It matches the Rfam family "Bacterial small subunit ribosomal RNA", at positions 60 to 914 of the family's 1533-position model. The record is from RNAcentral.
AGUCGAACGGCAGCGCGGGGCAACCUGGCGGCGAGUGGCGAACGGGUGAGUAAUAUAUCGGAACGUACCCAAGAGUGGGGGAUAACGUAGCGAAAGUUACGCUAAUACCGCAUACGAUCUAAGGAUGAAAGUGGGGGAUCUUCGGACCUCAUGCUCCUGGAGCGGCCGAUAUCUGAUUAGCUAGUUGGUGAGGUAAAGGCUCACCAAGGCGACGAUCAGUAGCUGGUCUGAGAGGACGACCAGCCACACUGGAACUGAGACACGGUCCAGACUCCUACGGGAGGCAGCAGUGGGGAAUUUUGGACAAUGGGCGCAAGCCUGAUCCAGCAAUGCCGCGUGAGUGAAGAAGGCCUUCGGGUUGUAAAGCUCUUUUGUCAGGGAAGAAACGGCCUGGGUUAAUACCUUGGGCUAAUGACGGUACCUGAAGAAUAAGCACCGGCUAACUACGUGCCAGCAGCCGCGGUAAUACGUAGGGUGCAAGCGUUAAUCGGAAUUACUGGGCGUAAAGCGUGCGCAGGCGGUUUUGUAAGUCUGUCGUGAAAUCCCCGGGCUCAACCUGGGAAUUGCGAUGAAGACUGCAAGGCUAGAAUCUGGCAGAGGGGGGUAGAAUUCCACGUGUAGCAGUGAAAUGCGUAGAGAUGUGGAGGAACACCGAUGGCGAAGGCAGCCCCCUGGGUCAAGAUUGACGCUCAUGCACGAAAGCGUGGGGAGCAAACAGGAUUAGAUACCCUGGUAGUCCACGCCCUAAACGAUGUCUACUAGUUGUCGGGUCUUAAUUGACUUGGUAACGCAGCUAACGCGUGAAGUAGACCGCCUGGGGAGUACGGUCGCAAGAUUAAAACUCAAAGGAAUUGAC